RNAcentral lists this long non-coding RNA (527 nucleotides) under Malus domestica (apple). Its description in RNAcentral is "long non-coding RNA (MDOM_LNC001573)". Lineage: Eukaryota; Viridiplantae; Streptophyta; Magnoliopsida; Rosales; Rosaceae. The record is from RNAcentral.
AUUACAUAAUUAUAUUUAAGUCCCCCGAGUAUUUGUACGAGAUCUAAAUACGGAGGCCCUAAGUAUGGUAUAAACAGUAGUCCCCUAAGUCUUCAGUCAAGAGAGUCUUUUGGCUGGAGAUUUGAAAUUCAGUCCAUGUAUGGGCCGAAGUAACUAGAUGUUGUCUUGAACUGAUGCUCGAUAUGAGGUGGUGCUUAAUCUGAAAUGAUGCUCAACUAGAAGUAGCACAUGCUGCGAGGUUGCUCGGCUCGUGGCUUAUGUUGCCUUGGUUGGCUCGGUUUGUGGCGUUGAAGGUGAUGGAGUCCCUUUUAUAGAAUAAGGGCUUGCUCCUCAAUCCAUAAAUGAUGGGCUAGAGUUGAUGCUCGCGGCGAGGCGGUUGCUCAGUAGGCGGCGAUGCUCUCUAAUGAUGGUGAGGGAGUCCCUUUUAUAGGAUAAGGGUUUGCUCCUCAGUACAUGAAUAAUAGGUGCUCUCUAAUGAAAGUGAGGGAGUCCCUUUUAUAGAAUAAGGGCUCGCUCCUCAGUACAUA